UAGAAAUUGACAAUGAGAGUCGUUUGAAUACUAAACUUUAUUACAAAUUUGACUUAGAUAUUUCCAUUGUGAAUUUAACACUUUUUGUUUGUUGGUUGAUUAACGUUCAGUGACAGAUAUUUCAUGCAUGUUCAGGACUAAAACAGAUUUAUAAUAAAUACAAUAGGUUGGUCCUGUAAUAGAAGCCGUCCGGGAUGAAGGUCGGGUUAAUUUAGACUGCCACUGAAAAAUGAGGGUAUACAGGAUAGGGACAGAUUGAGAAAUAUUUCCUUGCAACAGGUCACCUACAUACCCCUCAAAAAGUUGUUGCAAGGGUUAUUAGCGUGUCACUCUCUGUGCACGUGGUAUCGGAUAUAAUGUCUCCGUUCUGACCGGACGUGGCUGCAUACUUGUACAUCCCGCACAACUAAACGUACGCCCCUACUCUGACAAGGGUUUAUUGCCGGUCGGAAGAAGACCAAAGUGACGGGUUUUUUUUACAACAUUUUAUUCAAUGUUGGUGUUUUUUAACACACAAUUGGCUCUCCUAUAUGAACACCUAUGUUCCUCUGUACAACGGCUCUAUUUGUAUCAGGCAGACUAUACAGGUUUUUCUUUAAAACAAAAAUUACAAUAUCCUCUAUCUUCAAGUUUCGUUAUAAAGAUUAUGUCCUUUUAUGGAAUAAUUCAAAGUCUAGUGACUAUGUUGAUCCCGUCGAUCUUACUAAGCUUGAAAUAAAGGAUUACACAGAUGUAGUUUGAAUUUCUUCAGGUCAUGACUUAGAAAUUGACAAUGAGAGUCGUUUGAAUACUAAACUUUAUUACACAUUUGACUUAGAUAUUCCCAUUGUGAAUUUAACACUUUUUUUUUGUUGGUUGAUUAACGUUCAGUGACAGAUAUUUCAUGCAUGUUCAGGACUAAAACAGAUUUAUAAUAAAUACAAUAGGUCAGUCCUGUAAUAGAGGCCGUCCGGAAUGAAGGUCGGAUUAAUUUAGACUGCCACUGAAAAAUGAGGGUAUACAGAAUAGGGACAGAAAUAUUUCCUUGCAACAGGUCACCUACAUACCCCUCAAAAAGUUGUUGCAAGGGUUAUGAGCGUGUCACUCUCUGUGCACGUGGCAUCGGAUAUAACGUCCCCGUUCUGACCGGACGUGGCUGCAUACUUGUACAUCCCGCACAAUUAAACGUACGCUCCCCCUCUGACAAGGGAUUACUGCCGGUCGAAAGAAGACCAAAAGGAAGAUAUUUAUAAUCCCAGACAAACUCUGAGGACGAUUUCAUUGACAAAUGGUUGCUGCUUAUAAGGAGGUUAUAAAUGGUAAAGUUCAAUUCAUCUACUCGAAAAUUGAUCACACGUUAUAAUGAUAUUUUCAAUCUUAAUGGACAUAUACACGUCAAUAACAGAUGACAACGAAUAUGUUCUAUAUGUUGGAAACACAAUUUCAUUCGUUUUCCAGUUUAUGACUGCCAUCUUAGAUUGAUUUAUCCUCGGAGUUGAUCAGAUAUGAGUAACAAGACGCGUGUCGCUAUAGAACAGGUCGUGUUUACCCUUUCGGAACACCGGAGAUCAUCAAUGGUUUUCGCUGAUGUAUCUGUAUUUUACCGUGUGGAGUUUUAUGGACUGUUGUUCGUUCUUUUGGUGUAAUGUGACUUUAUUAGAAUUAUAAGUUGUGUUGCUCUUCUUAGUGUUUCUAUUAAAUGCACAAUGACUAGAAUAUAUAUCUCUGUUAUGCCAAGUUAUGUCGUCAUAGUUACGAUGAUUUGUAGCCAUUAUAAUGUGAUUGCAUUUGCCUUGUCGAAACCCGAACAAGUUUCGCGAUUUAAUUGAUAUGGUAAAUAUUGCGCAAAUGUGACAUCGGGAACACAUUAUCUAUCAUAAAAGUUUUAUUUUUGGAAAUGCCCACCUUAUUGUAUAUUUUUACUAUAUAUGAAAAUAGAACCAUAUCAAAUAAGCUUGGUGACGUAAUAGGUAAGAUAAAAAGAUAACCCGAGUAACCAAAUAUCAAAAUAAAAUUAGUCAAACGUGUUUGAAGCAGAUAUCGAGGUCAACUUGAGUUUGUCAUAGGGAUAAUUAGUAAACAGUUAUUAGAUAUUCAAAUCUAUAUCGCUAAGGUCAACGAACUUGCUUCAUGGGUCUUUGUCUAAGAUUAACUUGGUUUAAACACUGAAAACUCUUUGACCAGCUCUUGUUUGAAUUAUAGAUUAAUUGUUGCGUGUUUAUCUUCUAGUACAUGUAUAACAGAAUUGGCGGGAAGAAAACGUAUUGAAAGUUGCGUGUUUAUCUUCUAGUACAUGUAUAACAGAAUUGGCGGGAAGAAAACGUAUUGAAAGUUGCGUGGUUUCGGCUGUAAAGAGGUUUAACAUUCAGAAAAGGAUCUCUAUCUUUGGUUGGUCGCGAAUAAUUAGAAAUGAAUAUUUAUCCAUUUUAAGUUUAUCAUUUAUUUCAUCCAUUCUCACAUCCUUAUCUAUUAUACAGCUU
Mytilus californianus (California mussel) is the source of this 2459-nucleotide long non-coding RNA. RefSeq lists it as uncharacterized. The record is from RefSeq and is a predicted model, not a curated record. Lineage: Eukaryota; Metazoa; Mollusca; Bivalvia; Mytilida; Mytilidae. The transcript is spliced from 2 exons.